UGGUCUCUAUCCCUGCAUGAAUCAGGUCGCCUGUUCACACCUGCACACCCCAUCUGUGCCAUGGAGUCUGUAGGGAUCACUGAGUGCAAUGGUCAGAAGAUAGAUAGAGGCAGGUCGUUAUCAAUAUUUCGUCUCAUCAUCUGAGUCCACUUCUGAGAAGCUCUUUGAGAAAGAUGUGCAGUUCUAGAGAUCUCGUGCUGCGUUGCCAUGCAGGCAGUGGUGGGUGGCUGGUCAGCUCUCUUGUCUCCGUCGGUCAGGUCAGGACAAGCAGGUGCCCCGGCCGAGUGAGACAUCUACUUAAGUGAUAGCUAAGAGAGGUCAAAUGUACCGUUGAAUUGACUGAUUUACUUGUUAAAAGGAUAUCUAAUCCACGACAUGUCAUCAAGCGUCCUAAACGAGUCCUGUGCAUGCUGCCUAAUUAUUCUGCAUAUCCAACAGCAGGUACGGUGUCGUCAACUUCAUAUGAUAUAUUAAAUUGAUGAUCCGAGCAAGGUCAAAUGGUUCCUUUGUCGCUGGCUGAACUCUGAUGGCUGAUCCAGCUUUAAUAUGCUGUCCUUCUCCUGUUAUUUUACCUUUUGCAUUGUCCAGCAGGAAGUCGUUGCUGCCGGCCCUUUCAGGCAUGUAUCCUGCAAAAUGCAGCCAGCAGGUACUGACUCUGGUAUUUGUUUGCUUGUUGCCAAUCUGGACAAUAAUUAUGAUGUCAUGGUCCAUUAGAGAAUUCCUCACUUGUAACUGAUUUCUUUUUCUCAUGGGGUGGGAGUGGGAAACAGCGUGCGGUGAAGACGUUUGCGCAGCCCAGAUUCAGUGGUUUUCACGGUUCAUUUGUGCUGAAUUGAUAUAGUGCAUGGAAAUAUACCUGAGUUUCGGUGUUAUGUGAUGGAAAUUAGCUUUCCAUGUUUAAGUUCGGCUCCAGCUCCAUCAGUAUAAAGCAUGUCCUUCGGAGAAAUAUUAUCCGUCCUCAAACCAAAUGGCAAGUAAAGGUACCAUAGUUUGGCUGCCAGAAGUCAUGAAACCAAACUGCUAGCCCCCAACAACAUAUGCAUCCUUGACAGUCAUCCGCCUGGAGAAUGCAGUUCUAGACUUCUAGUGACCUCGUGCGGCAUUGGCAUGUACUCCCUCCGAUCCAUAUUAAUUGUCAAAAUAUUACAUGUAUCUAGACGCUUUUCAUAUUUGAGCAAAUUUGAGACAAUUGGAGGGAGUAUGUACUAUGUAGCCAGUGGUGGGUGGUCAACUCAACUCUGUCAUCGCCAUCGCCCAGGAGGCAGCAUGGUCGCCCGAGUGAGACAUGGAUUGGUGUUAGCUUCAGUCAGAUGCGCUCAUGGGUGGAGCCACCGUGGGGGCACCACGGGCACGUGCCCGGGCUCCAGGCCGCCUUCUGCGGAGCUUCGUCGAACCAUGGUGAAGGAUGGAAGGGUCUGGAACCUGCUGUGCCCCCGAAGACGACGAACAAUCGAGUAGAUUGAUCUGUUCUGUCCGGGCUGGGCCACAGCAGUUCGUCUCCCCUUCUGUUUUACUGGGCCUCGAAACUUUGAAUUUAGUUCUGGGCUCUUCUGGAUGCAUGGCGUCGUAAAAUAAUAGUAAUACCAAUAAACAUUGCAUCAACUAUUUUUUUAUCUAUAUAUUUGUAUAUAGCAUUGAAUUACUUAAUCAAGCAAAGCUGUUCUAGAGGGAGGCCCGGCCAUGCAUGGAUAAUAUAUAUCCAGCAGCAGGUACGUACAAUGUCGUCAACCUCAAAUGAUGCUACUACUAAUUAAACUGCUGCUGGCCAAUGUGAUGGAGCAAAGGUCAAAUUAAUACUCAAAUGGUACCUUUGUCGCUGGGCCAAAAUCCGACGGCCGAUCCAGCUAUUAUGCUGUCUUCUUCUCGGUCAUUUGACCCUGUUACAUCGCAUCCGUGAGGAAGUCUGGCCGUUUCAGGCGCCAUGCAUCCAGAAGAGAAAUGCAGCCGAUGGAUAUAUAGAUGCCGACCGUGCCUGCAUCAGCACACACACGUACUGAUCUCGGGGAUUUGUUUACUUGCCCCUGCGAUGCCAUGGUCCACUGGCUAGCUAGGGAGAGUUCUAGCUUCGCAUGUAAAUUAACUGAUUUAUUCUCUUGAAUGUGCAUUGCGCUGAAGAUGGUGAA
Molecule: long non-coding RNA, 2123 nt
Organism: Brachypodium distachyon (stiff brome)
Lineage: Eukaryota; Viridiplantae; Streptophyta; Magnoliopsida; Poales; Poaceae
Exons: 3
Source: RefSeq, a predicted model, not a curated record